AGCACUCUUAAAAAUGAAGACUGCAACUUCACAGGCAAUUGAAAUCCGUGUUCAGAGGACGUACAUGUGACUUGAGUCCUCCUUCCAAAGCUGGAGGCGGGGCGCGGGGGGAGGUUCUGUAGCUGCUAGGACCGUUAGAAGUUCCUUGGAAAGGUUGGCUCAAGCGACCACAUUCAGAGAAAAGGGACAGACACAGAAGAGUGGGCUCAGAGUGGAGGGAAAGACUCACCUAAGAUGGUGAACAGCCUGUAGUAUGAAGACCAGACAUCAUAGGGCGAAAGGCAGAAACAGAAGAGCUACACAGCAGCCCUGGUCUCUAAUGGCUCCUUUCUCCUCCAGCUCUGCCUCCUGACUCCCUGACCUUGCCCAAGAGGAAGAAGAGCUGACUAGUUUCCAGGGAUCAAACUCGGGACCUUGCACUUGUGAGGAAAUAAAUUCUGUGACUGUGCUGAGCGUGCUAAGAGCUCCGGCUGGAGCACAGAUCUUCACUAUCUUCAGGGAGUCCGCACCAGAGAGAAAUCAUUCACAUGUGACUCGUGACACAGAGGCUUCAGUUACAACACCAAUCUGCACUCGCGAGAGCGUCCACACUGGAGAGAAAGCUUUUGUGUGUGAUGCACGUGGCAAAGGCUUCAGGUACAACCCCAGUCUCCAAAUUCAUGAGAAGAUCAUGCAGGGGAGGAGCCGGCGGAGUUCCCACCUUCACCUGAGGUCCACACGAGGGAAGCUGUUUGCAAUGAAAUUCUUGAAACACAAAUCUUGGCGCUCAUCAGGAAGUCCACACGGGAGAGAGACCGGUCACCGUGAGGAGAGUGAGGGCUUCCCUCAGAGCUCCGGUCUUCAGUCAUCAGGCCGCCCAACAAGUGGCGUGGGUGGUGAGGGCUCCAGCCACAGAUGUCUGAGUUACAGAAUAAGAACUCGUUAAAUGCCGUACUUGAGACAAGGGCUUCACUUACAGCAAAACCCUUCAUGUUCACAAGCAUCCACAUCGGGUGCAGAGGCUAAGUACGCUGGAGUCUUCGCAUCUUUCCACGUCGACACGGGAGAGAAGGCCGGCUAGUGUGGCGUGUGGUGUGUGGCGUGUGGCGAGAACGUCUCCUGGGGCACGCGGCGCCCCUUCUACCAACGAGCCUGUUACUCAAGACAGCUCCAUGAGAGUGUUUUGUUUUGCUUUCUUUUUCCGGUACCAGGAUCAAACUGGGAAGGCAGGCGCAGCUCCUCUGAGCUAAAUCUCUGGCCCACCUGUGAGUGUUUUGCCCGCCUGUGUCUUCAGCUCCUAACUCAGCACCUGGCACAGAGUGGCCGCUCCAUAGGUGUGGGUGAGGGUCCGCGUGUGAGAGAAUCCCCGUUCACGUGAUGUGCAUGGCUGCUGGAUGCGUCUCACAGGAGAUUGUAGAAGUCACCAGAUGAGGCGUGUGCAGGAAGCCAUGUGAAGAAUAUUCUCCUAAGGGAAUUGGCAAGAACAGUGUAGAAAACAGCUGGCAGUCCCUCCCAGCUGUCCACCUGACACCCAGGAACCAGAGUUUGGAAAGAUGCUUCACAGAGAAAAUGCAGAGAGCACAGAUCUUCAACUCUUCCCAUUGCUGUCAUGGAGAAGUGGAAAUGAGGAACAACCCAGCCUCAUCUCCUGGUGGGGACACAGGC
This is a long non-coding RNA of Fukomys damarensis (Damara mole-rat), 1644 nucleotides long. RefSeq lists it as uncharacterized. The transcript has 6 exons. NCBI's taxonomy places the organism in Eukaryota, Metazoa, Chordata, Mammalia, Rodentia, Bathyergidae. The record is from RefSeq and is a predicted model, not a curated record.